GCCGAAGUGGUGGAAUUGGUAGACGCGCUGCGUUCAGGGCGCAGUGGGCGCAAGCCCGUGUGGGUUCGAGUCCCACCUUCGGCAUCA
This 87-nucleotide transfer RNA is filed under the name Gemmatimonadota bacterium. RNAcentral describes it as "Gemmatimonadetes bacterium tRNA-Leu". It matches the Rfam family "tRNA". Rfam says of the family: Transfer RNA (tRNA) molecules are approximately 80 nucleotides in length. Their secondary structure includes four short double-helical elements and three loops (D, anti-codon, and T loops). The record is from RNAcentral. Lineage: Bacteria; Pseudomonadati; Gemmatimonadota.